This 251-nucleotide ribosomal RNA is filed under the name Staphylococcus saprophyticus. Its description in RNAcentral is "partial 16S ribosomal RNA". It matches the Rfam family "Bacterial small subunit ribosomal RNA", at positions 959 to 1209 of the family's 1533-position model. Lineage: Bacteria; Bacillati; Bacillota; Bacilli; Caryophanales; Staphylococcaceae. The record is from RNAcentral.
ACGCGAAGAACCUUACCAACUCUUGACAUCCUUUGACCACUCUAGAGAUAGAGUUUUCCCCUUCGGGGGACAAAGUGACAGGUGGUGCAUGGUUGUCGUCAGCUCGUGUCCUGAGAUGUUGGGUUAAGUCCCGCAACGAGCGCAACCCUUAAACUUAGUUGCCAGCAUUUAGUUGGGCACUCUAGGUUGACUGCCGGUGACAAACCGGAGGAAGGUGGGGAUGACGUCAAAUCAUCAUGGCCCUUAUGAUU